Molecule: ribosomal RNA, 850 nt
Filed under: Aquimarina sp. TBL_2
Lineage: Bacteria; Pseudomonadati; Bacteroidota; Flavobacteriia; Flavobacteriales; Flavobacteriaceae
Description: bacterial SSU rRNA
Rfam family: Bacterial small subunit ribosomal RNA
Source: RNAcentral
GCAAGUCGAGGGGUAACAGGAGUGCUUGCACUCGCUGACGACCGGCGCACGGGUGCGUAACGCGUAUAGAAUCUACCUUGUAGUAAGGGAUAGCCCAGAGAAAUUUGGAUUAAUACCUUAUAGUAUCAAAAAGCAGCAUUGUUUUAUGAUUAAAGAUUUAUUGCUAUAAGAUGACUAUGCGUUCUAUUAGCUAGUUGGUAUGGUAACGGCAUACCAAGGCUACGAUAGAUAGGGGUCCUGAGAGGGAGAUCCCCCACACUGGUACUGAGACACGGACCAGACUCCUACGGGAGGCAGCAGUGAGGAAUAUUGGACAAUGGAGGCAACUCUGAUCCAGCCAUGCCGCGUGUAGGAAGACUGCCCUAUGGGUUGUAAACUACUUUUAUAGAGGAAGAAACAAUAUUACGUGUAAUAUUCUGACGGUACUCUACGAAUAAGGAUCGGCUAACUCCGUGCCAGCAGCCGCGGUAAUACGGAGGAUCCAAGCGUUAUCCGGAAUCAUUGGGUUUAAAGGGUCCGUAGGCGGGUUUGUAAGUCAGUGGUGAAAGUUUUCGGCUCAACCGGAAAAUUGCCAUUGAUACUGCAAGUCUUGAAUUAUUGUGAAGUGGUUAGAAUGUGUAGUGUAGCGGUGAAAUGCAUAGAUAUUACACAGAAUACCGAUUGCGAAGGCAGAUCACUAACAAUUAAUUGACGCUAAGGGACGAAAGCGUGGGUAGCGAACAGGAUUAGAUACCCUGGUAGUCCACGCCGUAAACGAUGGUUACUAGCUGUUCGGACUUCGGUCUGAGUGGCUAAGCGAAAGUGAUAAGUAACCCACCUGGGGAGUACGUUCGCAAGAAUGAAACUCAAG